UUAUACGCGCGAUCCCCUUAGAGUUGAUCCUGGCUCAGGAUGAACGCUGGCGGCGUGCCUUAAGCAUGCAAGUCGAACGGAGAUUGUGUCUAGCACAAAGUUAAUAAUCCGCUCUAUUUGUUAUGCGUCAGGUACAUGUCAGUUAAUUAUUGACUAUUUUUUGGCGUAUAACGAGUGGAGCGAACGAUUUAUUAAUUUCGUGCUAGGCAUGAAAUCAGUGGCGGACGGGUGAGUAUAAGCAAGGAACGUACCCUUUACUGUGGCAUAGCUCGUCGAAAGACGGGGUAAUAUCGCAUGACCCUUCACGGGGAAAGCGCUUAACCGCGCGGUAAAGGAGCGGCCUUGUUCCUAUCAGCUAGUUGGUGGGGUAAAGGCCUACCAAGGCUUUGACGGGUAGGGGGUGUGAGAGCAUGACCCCCCACAAUGGCACUGAGAAACGGGCCAUACAUCUACGGAUGGCAGCAACUGGGAAUCGUUGGCAAUGGGCGAAAGCCUGACCACGCGACGCCGCGUGAGGGAUGAAGUAUUUCGGUAUGUAAACCUCUUUUACGAAGAUAUCAUGUCUUCGAGAAUAAGCACCUACUAACUACGUGCCAGCAGUCGCGGUAAUACGUAGGGUGCAAGCGUUAUCCGGAUUUACUGGGCGUAAAGGGUCGUGUAGGUGGUUUUCCGCAUCGAACCUGAAAGCCCGAGGCUUAACCUCGGCGUUGGGUUCGAGAUGGGGAGACUUGAGGAAGACAGAGGUAAGGGGAACUCAUAGUGGAGCAGUGAAAUGCGUUGAUAUUAUGAGGAACACCAAAGGCGAAGGCACCUUACUGGGUCUUAUCUGACACUCAGACACGAAAGCUAGGGGAGCGAAGCAGAUUAGAUACCUGCGUAGUCCUAGCCCUAAACGCAUGUCUGCUAGAUGGUCUUUCGUAAGACGGACUGUCGUAAGCUAACGCGUUAAGCAGACCGCCUGGGGAGUACGAUCGCAAGAUUAAAACUCAAAGGAAUUGACGGGGACCCGCACAACCGGUGGAGCGUGUGGUUCAAUUCGAGACAAAGCGAAAGACCUUACCAGGUCUUGACAUCUUACCGUUUUAAGUCACCAGAAAUGGAGACCUAUCCGCAAGGAUGGUAGGACAGCAGCUGCAUGGCAGCCGUCAGCUCGUGCCGUGGGGUGUUCCUUUAAGUAGGAGAACGAGCGCAACCCGUAUCCGAUGUUACAAAUGUCAUCGGAGACUGCCCUGGCUUAUGUCAGGGAGGAAGGAACGGACGACGACAUGUCAGCACGGCGCUUAUGACCUGGGUCACACACACCCUACAAUGGCGAAUAACAAUGGGAAGCUAGGCCGCAAGGUCAUGCAAAUCCCCACUAAAUUUCGCCUCAGUUCAGAUUGGGGUCUGCAACCCGACCCCAUGAAGUCGGAAUCGGUAGUAAUCGCAGAUCAGCAGGCUGCGGUGAAUACGUUCUCGGGUCUUGUACACACCGCCCGUCAAGCCAACAAAGUUGGAGGCGGCCGAAGAGCCCCGCAAGGGGAGCUAAGCCGAAUUCAGCGAUGGGGACUAAGUCGUAACAAGGUAACC
RNAcentral lists this ribosomal RNA (1569 nucleotides) under uncultured bacterium. RNAcentral describes it as "partial 16S ribosomal RNA". It matches the Rfam family "Bacterial small subunit ribosomal RNA". The record is from RNAcentral.